CAAAGAUGUUAAAAUCGAAACUUAUGUUGCUAAUUUAAUUAAAACAAAAACCAAACACCCCAUUUGGGGAUGUCUGGUCGUACAAAGAAGCAGGAGGCGAUGGGUUUCUUCAAACCCUAAAAUCCUUACUAAAACUCUCAAAUUGGAGGUGUAAAUCUGGUCCAAAACGAAAAUCGAGCAUAGAUUACUGAUCCCCAUUGCAAGGGGGUUGUAAGGUACUCAAGGAUUAUGGGUGACGAUCAAGCAACUUUUGAAGGACCGAACACAUACUCUUGAAGCUUCCGCAUAAAUCAACUCGGUUUAAACAAUGUUUAUGAUGUAAACUAUUUGCUAAACAACUUUUGAAAUGUUUAAACGACGUACUCAAUUAUGUUAUGUUGUAUUAUUUUAAAAUUGUAAAGUUUAAACAAACCCGUAUUUUUACAAAGUAUAUGUAGUCAUAAUUACAUGUUGUUUGUCGUA
Molecule: long non-coding RNA, 462 nt
Organism: Helianthus annuus (common sunflower)
Lineage: Eukaryota; Viridiplantae; Streptophyta; Magnoliopsida; Asterales; Asteraceae
Exons: 2
Source: RefSeq, a predicted model, not a curated record